This is a non-coding RNA of Phrynosoma platyrhinos (Desert horned lizard), 71 nucleotides long. Lineage: Eukaryota; Metazoa; Chordata; Lepidosauria; Squamata; Phrynosomatidae. The record is from the annotation of a GenBank genome assembly.
GCUGGCAUGGUGUAGUGGUUUGAGCAUUGGACUACAACUCCGGAGAGAAGAGUUCGAUUAUCUGUCGAGCA